RNAcentral lists this ribosomal RNA (776 nucleotides) under uncultured Neocallimastigales. RNAcentral's name for it is "partial large subunit ribosomal RNA". It matches the Rfam family "Eukaryotic large subunit ribosomal RNA", at positions 22 to 635 of the family's 3401-position model. The record is from RNAcentral. Lineage: Eukaryota; Fungi; Neocallimastigomycota; Neocallimastigomycetes; Neocallimastigales.
GUACACGCUGUGACUAGCAUAUCAAUAAGCGGAGGAAAAGGAAACUAACAAGGAUUCCCUUAGUAACGGCGAGUGAAGCGGGAAGAGCUCAAAUUUGAAAUCUUCAAGGUUUUACCUUGACGAAUUGUAGUUUAAAGAAGUGUUUUCUGCUGAAGUUUUGGUAAAAGUUCUUUGGAAUAGGACAUCAUAGAGGGUGAGAAUCCCGUAUUUGACCAUUAUUUUCAGCUUUGUGAUACACUUUCAAUGAGUCGGAUUGUUUGGGAAUGCAGUCCAAAAUGGGUGGUAAAUUUCAUCUAAAGCUAAAUACUGGCGAGAGACCGAUAGCGAACAAGUACCGUGAGGGAAAGAUGAAAAGAACUUUGAAAAGAGAGUUAAACAGUACGUGAAAUUGUCAAAAGGGAAGCGUUUGACACCAGUGUUGUUUUCCUCGAAAAUCAAUUAAAAAUGGCUCGAUUUUGUAUUGCUGAGACCUUAAAAGCUCACUGUACAUUUUUCGUGUCUUUUUUAAUGCACUUUUCGUUUAACAAGUCAACAUCAGUUUCUUUUGUUGUAAAAGGGUCGUUGGAAGGUGGCUUUCUUUUCGGAGAAAGUGUUUAUAGCCUUUGGCCUCUGCAAUCGGAGAGACUGAGGUCUGCAGCGUAGACUCUUCGGGGUUAGAUACAUUUGUGCUAAGUUAUAGCUUUUUAUAGACAACUUGUUGACUAUAAUUAGUCUUGUAGCUUACUCGCUUAUGCUAUUUUACCUACGCUUAGGAUGUUGAUCUACAGAGCGAGAGU